GAUGAACGCUGGCGGCGUGCCUAAUACAUGCAAGUCGAGCGAACAGAUAAGGAGCUUGCUCCUUUGACGUUAGCGGCGGACGGGUGAGUAACACGUGGGUAACCUACCUAUAAGACUGGAAUAACUCCGGGAAACCGGGGCUAAUGCCGGAUAACAUUUAGAACCGCAUGGUUCUAAAGUGAAAGAUGGUUUUGCUAUCACUUAUAGAUGGACCCGCGCCGUAUUAGCUAGUUGGUAAGGUAACGGCUUACCAAGGCAACGAUACGUAGCCGACCUGAGAGGGUGAUCGGCCACACUGGAACUGAGACACGGUCCAGACUCCUACGGGAGACAGCAGUAGGGAAUCUUCCGCAAUGGGCGAAAGCCUGACGGAGCAACGCCGCGUGAGUGAUGAAGGUCUUCGGAUCGUAAAACUCUGUUAUUAGGGAAGAACAAAUGUGUAAGUAACUGUGCACGUCUUGACGGUACCUAAUCAGAAAGCCACGGCUAACUACGUG
RNAcentral lists this ribosomal RNA (497 nucleotides) under uncultured bacterium. RNAcentral describes it as "partial 16S ribosomal RNA". It matches the Rfam family "Bacterial small subunit ribosomal RNA", at positions 28 to 507 of the family's 1533-position model. The record is from RNAcentral.